AGUUAAUUGGUAUGGGACUAUGAAGUCCCAAAGGGGGGAAUAUAUAUUUUUCUCUCCCUCUGUGAUUCAAAUAUUAUAUGGAACUAUGAAGCCCCAAAGGGGGGAUUGUAGUGUAAAAGUUAAUCCCUAAUCAAGUAAAAGUGUUAUACUGCAUAAGUUGAUUAAGAGACAAAAGCCACAUAACCACCAUAUAACCAUGUUUUAUGUAUAAGUUCCUAUAAAACUGAUUGAGAUGCAUCUAUAUGCGUUAAAGCAUUGUUAUACAUGUCAAAGUGUUCACAAUACAAAGUUAUGAGCUCACAUUGUAUUCACAUACUGAAGAGCACACAUAUAACCUAUCAUGUUCUGUUUAAUGAUAACACACACACACAUUCAAAUGUUUGUAUUACCUGAUGCACAUUUAAAGGUUCACAUUGCAUAAGAGCACAAGGGACUGCAUAAAGAAAGUCCCUAAAAUUCACAUGUUUUUUAAAAAAUAAAGUGAAAGUAGAUCCAGAUGUAAGGGUGGAAAAUUUGGGAAACUCCAGGCCCAAAGUGAAACUCCAGGCCCAAAGUGAAAGUGAUUACACCAUUAAAAACGGGCCUGUUCAUGAUUGGACAAAAGGAAAAAAGCUUGCCACCAAUAGAUUUGGAUUUGAGUGGGAUGGAUUAAUGAAAAGAGGUGGAGACUCUACCCAGUCUCCACCAGCAUAAAUGCGAGCGUACUAAGAGCGAGUUUUCAGUCCUGCUCCGGGGCUUGACUCAUGAGUUCUAUGUGUUGAAGCUUGUGAACACAUUAAACUUGAUUGCAUCGGACUCUGCCUGUCUCCAGUGUUUCUUUGAGUAUUAAUUAGAUGAACCCAAGGUACUAAACUGACAUCAGAGGACAACUGAGAAGCAACGCUGAGGACAAGGUCGGGAGCCUCCAGGCCCAAUUCCAGGCACCGAUUUUUGCCUCUUCAGAUCGUAUGUCAAUGUCACCGCCAUGUUCCUUAGAUCAAGACUGACCCGUGCUUUUGCACCUUUGCUGCUUGUGUGUGUGGGGGGGUGUAUUUAUUUCUUUGGCAAAAGGCUAAAAUGAAAAAAAUGAAGGCAGUGACAACCAACCUCUCUUUUUCAUGCUGCUUAAUCAUUUAGAUAUCUACAUCCGAGCUGGAAUCUUUUCAAAACCAUAUUCUAAUGUAUGCAUUGAAGAGGUUUUCUUACUCCCCCCCUGUCUAUGAGGCAAGGACCAUCCUUGCUGCGCUGGACUACAACUACCACAAGAGUCGUCCAGCCAAAAUAAACGCACAUGGAGAGACUGUGAUGGGCAGUGUUCAAGAAGAGGUCCAAUCGAUGGACCUUGUACACUGAAAAAACUCCAAAGACAUACAGUUACAUUCCCAACCUGCAGAGGCAUAUACUGGAAAAGAGGGUGUCAUCAGAAGGAGGUCUCCCAAAAGUCAUGAAGCAAAGACCCAGUGAUCCCCGGAGACUUCUCCCUGUCCUUCCACCACCAUCGACCCAAGACCUUGUUCAGGCCCAUGUCAGCAGAGGUCAUGGACCUGUCUUGCAGCAGAGUCCAACAGCUGUUGAUUAGAUGGAAUCACAGACAUCAAGACGCCGUCCUGAAGUCAUUUAAAGAGGGAACAGAUAACGUCUGAAGACAUGCAGCUGAACACCUAAAACAUGCUACAACAAGAAGAGGAUGGGGGGCAAUAUUAACUCUUCAUCCCUGGAGCCCCU
This is a non-coding RNA of Epinephelus lanceolatus (giant grouper), 1704 nucleotides long. The record is from RefSeq and is a predicted model, not a curated record. NCBI's taxonomy places the organism in Eukaryota, Metazoa, Chordata, Actinopteri, Perciformes, Serranidae.